Molecule: ribosomal RNA, 885 nt
Filed under: Aphonopelma mojave
Lineage: Eukaryota; Metazoa; Arthropoda; Arachnida; Araneae; Theraphosidae
Description: eukaryotic LSU rRNA
Rfam family: 5.8S ribosomal RNA (bases 522-675)
Source: RNAcentral
UGGCGCUCGGAGCGGCCGCAAGGUCGCGCCGGCGUGCCGGAAGAUGACCAAACUUGAUCAUUUAGAGGAAGUAAAAGUCGUAACAAGGUUUCCGUAGGUGAACCUGCGGAAGGAUCAUUACCGAACGGUUUUCGUAACCGAAUCUCAGUCCCCAACUGAGUCUAGUUCGUUCCUCCAGGGACGAACGUUCGAACGUUCCUCUUCCGAGGGGGUCCGGUUCUGGGGGUACCUGGUCCUGUCUUGCACGCCAGUGCGAGAGGGGUGCCUCUUCCGAGGCGCUAGGUUUAAUGAGAGGUCGUUCUAGCCUCCGCCCCCCCGAGAACCUCUCGGAGCACGUCUCUCUCGGAGUCGUGGGCUGCGAAGGGCCCCGGGCCUCCCCUGCCAUGGGAGCGUCCACUCCUUGAGGCGUGUUUAAAGUUGUGAAAAACCUUCGCACUCUUCUCCUCCGAGAAGGGUUGGUCUUUUACUCGUGUUUGGUUAUUCGAAAGAGACUUUGUUCUCUUUGAAAAGAAUGAGAGUACAACUCUGAGCAGUGGAUCACUUGGCUCACGGGUCGAUGAAGAACGCAGCCAGCUGCGAGACUUGGUGUGAAUUGCAGGACACAUUGAGCACUGAUUUUUCGAACGCACAUUGCGGCCUCGGUUCCUACCCGGGGCCUCGCCUGUCUGAGGGUCGGAUGAGACUUGCCGAAGGGGAACCUGUUCCCCUACUUGGUCGCAUCGGGUUUUUUUUGAAAAACUCGUCGACCUAAGAGCAGAUCGAGAGAUCUCCAGUCCCGACGAGUUCGGCGGCCCGCGGCCGUGGAAUUCGCGCGUUCUAGAGACACGGAACCGCCAGCCGUCGGCGUCCCGUCGUUCUCGUCGUGGGACUUUGUGAAAUGUCGAC